Long non-coding RNA from Papaver somniferum (opium poppy), 1050 nucleotides. RefSeq lists it as uncharacterized. The transcript has 2 exons. The record is from RefSeq and is a predicted model, not a curated record. Lineage: Eukaryota; Viridiplantae; Streptophyta; Magnoliopsida; Ranunculales; Papaveraceae.
CUUCUCUAAAUUUCUGGAGGCGGGGAUGAUCCCAAACAUAAUUCUUGUUAAUACCGAAUUUUCAAGCAUCAAGAGGAGGUAGAGUACCUAAUUCUAUGUUGCGGCGAGCCGGCGACUAUUGCCAUAUGAAAUGGUUUCCAGGAGUUGAAAAGAUUUGUGGAGGGUAUGCCUUUGAGAUAGUAAGUGUUAUUAAGCUUGAAGAAGUUGGAUUACGCGAAACUAAUGAAUAAGAAGAAGAUAUGGGUUCUGAUGACCAUGUUGUAAAUGGGUUUCUUCUUAAGAUUGAUCUGCACACACAAAAUCUUGAAAUUUGAUUCAUUCUUUUUCUUGAAGAAGAAGAAGAAUGGAAAACCUAUUAGUUACUGGAGGUGGAGGAAUGUGAAAGAUGCGAGGAGAGGGAGCUUUGUAGUUUGAAGGAAUUGAUGUUGAGACACAAAAUGCUGGGCUUUUAACUGUUUCCUCCUAGCCUUCAAGGCAUGACAGUAAAUCUGAGAAAGUGCUCCCAAACUUCUUUAUUGAGAGAGGAACAAGAGGAAUCAGGCAGUGUGGUCCUGUUUCCAUCUGUCCUUCAGAAUUCAGACUCGUAUUGAACUUGAAAAGUUGGAUGUCUCGAGGAAUCAGAUUAUGGGAACUAUUCCUCCAAGUUUAGGGGAAUUGGUGAGUUUGAAAUGGUUGGAUUUAUCUAUUAAUAGACUGACUGGGAAAAUUCCGGAUAGUUUGUUAAGGAUAGAGAACCUGAAACAUGCAAAUUUUAGAGCAAAUAGAUUGUGUGGACAGAUCCCACAAGGUAGACCAUUUAACAUUUUCCCAGCAGUUGCUUAUGCUCAUAACCAAUGCUUAUGUGGUAAACCAUUGCCACCUUGUAAGGUCAAAUAAAGAAGAUGAUGAAGAGAGUAGUAGUAGUAGGUCAGUAAGAUGCUGACUCAGUUGACAUGUUUGCCUUGCCAUAUCAGAAAUUGUUGUCAGCUAUAUGUAAUGUUGGGGGUUUGUACUUGACUACUUGUAACAAUUUCAUACCAAUUCUUUCAUCAAAUUCGCUCUUUUGUCCUU